AACGAACGCUGGCGGCAUGCCUAACACAUGCAAGUCGAACGAGACCUUCGGGUCUAGUGGCGCACGGGUGCGUAACGCGUGGGAACCUGCCCUUAGGUUCGGAAUAACUCCCCGAAAGGGGUGCUAAUACCGGAUAAUGUCUUCGGACCAAAGAUUUAUCGCCUUUGGAUGGGCCCGCGUUGGAUUAGCUAGUUGGUAGGGUAAAAGCCUACCAAGGCGACGAUCCAUAGCUGGUCUGAGAGGAUGAUCAGCCACACUGGGACUGAGACACGGCCCAGACUCCUACGGGAGGGAGCAGUGGGGAAUAUUGGACAAGGGGGGAAGGCCUGAUCCAGCAAUGCCGCGUGAGUGAUGAAGGCCGUAGGGUUGUAAAGCUCUUUUACCCGGAAUGAUAGUGACGGUACCGGGAGAAUAAGCUCCGGCUAACUCCGUG
Molecule: ribosomal RNA, 433 nt
Filed under: uncultured bacterium
Lineage: Bacteria
Description: partial 16S ribosomal RNA
Rfam family: Bacterial small subunit ribosomal RNA
Source: RNAcentral